GACGAACGCUGGCGGCGUGCUUAACACAUGCAAGUCGAACGGAAAGGCCCUGCUUUUGUGGGGUGCUCGAGUGGCGAACGGGUGAGUAACACGUGAGUAGCCUGCCCUUGACUUUGGGAUAACUUCAGGAAACUGGGGCUAAUACCGGAUAGGAGCUCCUGCUGCAUGGUGGGGGUUGGAAAGUUUCGGCGGUUGGGGAUGGACUCGCGGCUUAUCAGCUUAUUGGUGGGGUAGUGGCUUACCAAGGCUUUGACGGGUAGCCGGCCUGAGAGGGUGACCGGCCACAUUGGGACUGAGAUACGGCCCAGACUCCUACGGGAGGCAGCAGUGGGGAAUAUUGCACAAUGGGCGGAAGCCUGAUGCAGCAACGCCGCGUGCGGGAUGACGGCCUUCGGGUUGUAAACCGCUUUCGCCUGUGACGAAGCGUGAGUGACGGUAAUGGGUAAAGAAGCACCGGCUAACUACGUG
RNAcentral lists this ribosomal RNA (468 nucleotides) under uncultured bacterium. RNAcentral's name for it is "partial 16S ribosomal RNA". It matches the Rfam family "Bacterial small subunit ribosomal RNA", at positions 28 to 507 of the family's 1533-position model. The record is from RNAcentral.